ACAACGGGUGGAGCCUGCGGUUUAAUUGGACUCAACGCCGGGCAGCUCACCGGAUAAGACAGCUGGAUGAUAGCCGGGCUGAAGACUCUGCUUGACUAGCUGAGAGGAGGUGCAUGGCCGUCGUCAGUUCGUACUGUGAAGCAUCCUGUUAAGUCAGGCAACGAGCGAGACCCACGCCAACAGUUGCCAGCAUGUCCUCCGGGAUGAUGGGGACACUGUUGGGACCGCCUCUGCUAAAGAGGAGGAAGGAAUGGGCAACGGUAGGUCAGCAUGCCCCGAAUUAUCCGGGCUACACGCGGGCUACAAUGGUCAGGACAAUGGGUAUCGACACCGAGAGGUGGAGGCAAUCUCCUAAACCUGUCCUUAGUUCGGAUUGUGGGCUGCAACUCGCCCACAUGAAGUCGGAAUCGCUAGUAAUCGCGGAUCAGCACGCCGCGGUCGAAUACGUUCCCGGGCCUU
Molecule: ribosomal RNA, 459 nt
Filed under: uncultured Methanolinea sp.
Lineage: Archaea; Methanobacteriati; Methanobacteriota; Methanomicrobia; Methanomicrobiales; Methanoregulaceae
Description: bacterial SSU rRNA
Rfam family: Archaeal small subunit ribosomal RNA
Source: RNAcentral